Cloeon dipterum is the source of this 2548-nucleotide long non-coding RNA. RefSeq lists it as uncharacterized. The record is from RefSeq and is a predicted model, not a curated record. The transcript has 8 exons. NCBI's taxonomy places the organism in Eukaryota, Metazoa, Arthropoda, Insecta, Ephemeroptera, Baetidae.
GCGACCGACUAGACUAGACCGCAGCGAAAAGUUCGCGAAGGACAUCACCAGACAUUCCGGUCGUUUUCAUCCUCCUAAACUUGGAAGAAGUAGGUGGUUUUAUUCUACAGAACGCUUGGAUAUCGGGCUGGACGCAAAGAAUUUGAGGAGUUGAAGCAAAGCGGAAUACGCGUACAUUCCAGCACCAGCAAAGCUGCGCGGCGAGUUGGAAAACAAGUUCAAAAGUGCUGCUGGGCAAUAAUUUCGAUCAGCUGACCCAACGUUCCAAGGAGAACCUUAAAGAGUUGGAGUCUCUGAAGAAUUUGUUUCAGUUCAUCCCCAGCAUGAAAUUAGCCAAUGUUGUGUUCCGACGAAAAUUGAAAGUUGAGAAGGCCAACCUGGAGAAGUUCAUCAAGAAUCAGACCAGACAACAAAGUUCAGAUCUGAACAGUAUUCCAAAGAAGAAGUUGAAGCGAGUUGAUCUCCCAGAAAAGUUGAGAAGAACCUUGCGCAGUGGAAAAAAACCUGCCUUCCAUUAUUUCUGGUACUGUGACCGAUAAGAAAGCAUUGGAGGCCCUGGAACAUGCUAAAUUCUGCCUUGAAAAUAUGGAAGAUGGCACUGAAGAAUUGGCUCCGAGUUGCAAGGGCAUUGUGAAAACUCUGGCCAGAUAUGUCACAUCAGAAGACGGUGAUGCCUUUGAACCGUUCCUCUUCGAGUCUCCACAUCAAGCCGGCCACGGGGGACAGCAGUCGCAGGGUUCCAUUCGAACUGAGUUGCCAAAAUACCUGGACCUUCUUGAAUAACAUAGCGGGAAACUGCAUGGACAACCAGCCAGGACGCCUUUGUGAAUGCUGCGCAGGUGGUCCUCGUCAAGGAUGCCUUUAAGCUUGGAUUCUACGGCAGAAAACUGGUUAGGGUGAAUUGAAACAAAUCUAACUUUUUUUAACAGCCGGUGGAAAAAUGUUGGUGCCGGUAUGCUUGUUCCGGAAGCUUGCAAAACGUGCCAUCCCCAGGAUAGAGCGGCGUCCAGCAGGUGUAGUUCAGUGAGGUCGGCAGGGAACUUGUCUAAGCUGAGCACUGCCUCCACACUCUGGACGUGGGAGAGCCUCCACGCUGCUGACUCGAAGACGGACACCGGAUCCUCCGCCACCUUCUUGAGAAGCCGGUGAGACAGGUAUGGGUACAGGUCCUUUUUGCGAGUUUGCUCCAGGAGGUCGUACAAAAAGAAGGCGUCGAGAGCGCUGUCACACAAGACGUCCUGCUGCACCUCCUGGCACAAGCAAUCUGCUUGCCACAGCAGACCGUACCUAAAAAUGACAGAUUUGAGAGAAGAAUCAACUUGAGGCAACUUAUUCGAGUGGAGUAGGCUGAGGGCCGCAUUCAUGGCGUCGACGUCCGGACGACAGAGGGCCUGCAGCUCGAGGAACGAGUCCUGACAGAAGGAAGCGGCCAGUCCUGGGCUGUUGGACUUCAAAGCCUCGCUGUGCACCUUGAAGAUGGCGGCUAGCGGUCCGUCAAGAAGCCGAACGAAGAUCGUGGCGUUGGGCUUGUCUUCUCGUUUACCAACAUUGAGAGCUUGACUUUCCUCGGCUUCCCGACUUACGUUAUGUUCCGCUUUAUCUACACCUUCGGAGCUAAACUAAACGCAUUGAACAUCCAACACGAUGACCGCAUGAUUGAACCGUUCCUGAAUUUAAAUCGGCUAUGUCCACUGCUUGCGCUUUGCUUGAGAGACUACGAUUGUGGCUAGUCGUCAGCGACCCAGAGCCAAUCACUUUUUACGCUCGUCUCAGCGUGUGGAAUUGGAUUUCACGUUCAGGGUAGCCAGAAGUAGUGUUAGAGUGGAGUUUCCAGUGGUGCGCCGGUUGCCUUGCAUCAACGAAACCAAUCUAAUGGAAACGCCAGAGUCCCUCAUCACCACUUUCCUCAUCAGCCAAACUUAUGCCUCCGCCAGAUCUUCAGUCAGAAGAUGUAUCCUUCCGUCACGAGAAAUUUCGCCUCCCCCUUGGCCAAACCCAACAUGUUUGGAGAACCUGCUGAGCAGUCUGAAGUUGCUUCCAUGAAAGAUAGAGAGCUGAAGCCUACGCUCUUUUUGAAGGAACAUCGAGAGAGGAAGAGGUGAAUUUUGAGGCCAAGCUUGCAGCCAAAGAAAUUAAGUUCACAAUUGUGAAGAAAAGAGUGCCCUCCGGUAUAACAAUAAGAAGAAGACUGUUAGCAGGAACCCAACAAGAACCAAUACUGGAUUCACGCGACCUGCCAUCCUUAAAGAACUGAAGAAAGAUCAGUAUAGGUGCAUAAACGCCUGCCCGAAAAGCUGGAAAAAUGCUUUAAGAGUGGUCUUUUUAGAGUUAGGAAUGACUUUCUCGGGACUCUCUCGAUGAACAUCAACAUUGUGUCGAGAAAGAAGAAGGUGAAUGAAGCAAACGUAAGGAAGGUCAUGAGGGCCUGCCAUACAGCAGGCGUGGCCAAGAAUUUUAACAAGUUUGCCAGGUUAAUUUGUACGUGAGUACCUCCGUACCUAGGAUUAUUUUUUAUUUGUCAAUAAAUUUUGUUACUUUAUCAAUGUCA